AUACGGAGGGUGCGAGCGUUAAUCGGAAUUACUGGGCGUAAAGCGUACGUAGGCGGUUGGUUAAGUUAGAUGUGAAAGCCCCGGGCUUAACCUGGGAACUGCAUUUAAAACUGGCGAACUAGAGUUGAGUAGAGGGGAGUGGAAUUUCAGGUGUAGCGGUGAAAUGCGUAGAGAUCUGAAGGAACACCAGUGGCGAAGGCGACUCCCUGGACUCGAACUGACGCUGAGGUACGAAAGCGUGGGUAGCAAACGGGAGUAGAAACCCCUGUAGUCC
RNAcentral lists this ribosomal RNA (274 nucleotides) under uncultured bacterium. Its description in RNAcentral is "partial 16S ribosomal RNA". It matches the Rfam family "Bacterial small subunit ribosomal RNA", at positions 523 to 796 of the family's 1533-position model. The record is from RNAcentral.